UACGUAGGGGGCGAGCGUUGUCCGGAAUCAUUGGGCGUAAAGCGCGUGUAGGCGGCCCGGUAAGUCCGCUGUGAAAGUCCAGGGCUCAACCCUGGGAUGCCGGUGGAUACUGUCGGGCUCGAGUCCGGAAGAGGCGAGUGGAAUCCCUGGUGUAGCGGUGAAAUGCGCAGAUAUCAGGAGGAACACCAAUGGCGAAGGCAGCUCGCUGGGACGUGACUGACGCUGAGACGCGAAAGCGUGGGGAGCAAACAGG
RNAcentral lists this ribosomal RNA (253 nucleotides) under uncultured bacterium. RNAcentral's name for it is "partial 16S ribosomal RNA". It matches the Rfam family "Bacterial small subunit ribosomal RNA", at positions 524 to 776 of the family's 1533-position model. The record is from RNAcentral.